UGGGAGGAGAACGUGCCUGAAGCUCCAGCAGCCAUCCUGGACUGGGAGGUGACCUUGCAGACGGAAGCCACUCGCUGAAGACGUUGGAGCAGAAGGACAGAAGGAGAUGGGAUCCAAUGACUUCCUGUAACCAGCACGACAGCCCUGGGUGGCCGCCUCACGCCUCCUUUCUGUGAGAGAGAAACCACCUCCUCUCUUGUUCCAGAUGCUGUUCUUUGGGGUCUUGUUUAGGCAGCCACCCUGGAUCCUCACAGACAGAGCUGCUGUUAUUAUCCCCAUUUUACACACGAGGAAACUGAGUCCUAAAGAGGUAGAGCCACUUGAUGUGAACCCUGGCUGUCUCACGGCAGGGCGGGCGUGCGUGACCACCAACCUACAGGUGCUUCCCAGCAGAGAAGGCUAACUGCUCACUGCGCUGGGUAAACACUAGCUGGAGGGCGGCCGGGCUCUGCCAACGUGGGAACCAGGAAUGCGAGGGUUUUGGCAGUGGCUUUGUCUGCUGGCUGGGGAACUGCUCUCUGCGUUCUCACCACACUCGAGUUGUCUGGGCUGGGGCCCUACAGCAUUUUGGCAGAGGACCCAGACUGUGGUUAUUAAAUUCCUCAUAUUCUGAUCUGUCCUCAAGGACCCAGUAGACUAAGCAGAGACAAUUAUUGGAGGCUUUUGCAAGAGCGAAGGGGUUCCAGCCCCCCGCGAAACAGGAUGGGGUGGCUAAAGUCCCCUGACAGGGAAUUAGGAUCUGAUCGCUGCAAAGACGAUCUUGUCUAGCAUCUCCCAAAGCAGAACGUUAGUAUCAGGAGAUGUGAAUAGGCGUCCAAAGUAGACAUAUCGACAAUUCGAGAAGCUUGGGAAACUGGACUCAUGACAGGACGUCUCAGAGCCUUUAGCAUGCAUCGGGACACUCCGGGAGGGGAAGGAAAUACACAACCUUCCUUCACAGUAUUUGAAUGUGAGCCCUUUUUUUUUUGAGGAGCAUCUCGAAGGCUGUUUUUCCCCUUUAAAAAGUAUUUUCAACAGAUACCAUUUUCGGAUGAUUGUCUGCAUGCCAGGCAUGGUGCUAUGGAUUAUAUAUGCGCUAUCUCAUUAAUUCUCAGAAAAAUCCAUGAAGUCGGCGCUGGAACUGUUGCCACUUUAUAGAAUCCACCAUGCUAUUCGGCUCAGAGAGGACAGAAUUGGCCACAUCCCACAUAGCUGGUAGGAGGCCAUGCUGGAUCUGGAUUCAGGUUUCUUGACUCCUGUUCCAAGUGUUUUUUCAUACUCUGCUGCUUCUGGAUCCAUGAACAUACGUCAGAUGGUGGGCGAUGUCCCUCUCCCUACACUGCAAACCCAGAGCUGCAGCCAAGAGCCCAGCUCGAGAUGCAGUACACCCUCUGGGCCUGGGUCUUGUCCCACCACCAACAUAACCUCUCAUUCACCCUUACAUACCUAACCUGUGACACAGGGACACACCCUGAAUGGGACCCAUCAGUUGUGGGCCGUGCUCUCCACCACAGGCCCAGCUCAUAGAAGCAAGCCCUAUACUACUUCGGGUGUGUGGUUUUUACUUUUUUAAAUGGUUGAAGAAAAAUAAUAUUUUGUGACACUCUGCUGCAAAUUAUAUGAAAUCCAAAUUUCAGUGUCCAUAAAUAAAGUUUUAUUGGCACACAGCCACACUCACUUGCUUACUUAUUGUCUAUGGCUGCUUGUGUGUUACAAUGGCAGAGCUGACCAGCUGCAAUAGGGGUCCAUGGCCUGUAAAGCUUAAAGUAUUUACCUUUUGGCCCUUGACAGAAAAAGUUCGCUGAUCCCUAUUCCAGACGAAAGAAAUCAAACCCCAACAGCACCAUCAUCCCCAUCUGGUGAUUCCUUCUCAAGCGGCCGAUUCC
Molecule: long non-coding RNA, 1865 nt
Filed under: Equus caballus (horse)
Lineage: Eukaryota; Metazoa; Chordata; Mammalia; Perissodactyla; Equidae
Description: lncRNA (ENSECAG00000057256.1)
Source: RNAcentral